AUUAUAUUAUUGAUGGCAUUAAAAUUAAGCCUGUUUCUUAAUUUGGUUUUUAUCAAACUUAAUUCAAAAAAUUUUCUCUCAGCAGCAGCCGAGCUAUGAGGAAGUGACAUCAAGUUAUAAACGAAAUUACUUAAAUUUUUAAAACAAUAUUCAUUUAAACCAUUUUUAAGACAACUGACCUUUUGCCAAAAUUCUGAUAUGUCCAUUAUUUCCCUAAGAUUAUGAUCAUUAGAAAAUCUUAGCAUUUUCCACUCCAUGACCAAAUCUUCUGGAUCACCCUGAACCAAGUAAGAAAAACUGUUCAUUAAAGGAAAUAGUGGCACAUCAGAAUCCGACAAAACACUUCUCGGAGUUAUUAUAGACAAGUUUUUUAAAUCAUUAUUACUCAGAUCAAAUCUUAGUAGCAAUUGUUUUAAAAGUUCUAAAUAAAAAUUCAAAGCGUUUGUUUUUAUCUCAUUCCUAUCAAAAUUUGAGAGGUUUGAUUUUUUGAUAUAAUCCUCGGCUUUGCUUCCCAGAAAAACAUCUGUAAUAGAUUUUCCCAUUGAAUAAGCUAAAUCGUAUGAUUUUAUUCCGCUAAUUUCCAAAUAGCACGAAAGAAAAUAUAAUUGAAGUGCGUCCCAUUGUUCCACCACUCGAUUUAUAACGUUUUCUAAGGAGAGCCAUCUUGUCAACGAAAUACCUAAUAUUUUGUGCGGUGGUACUGCACAAUAGUCUUGAAAUUCUUUAAAGUUAUUGAUACGAUUAGCACUGCAUAGGCAGAGCAUAGAUGCAACGAAUGACAAGUGCAUUUAAGAAAAAACAUAUUGGAGUUGCUCUUAAGCUUGGCUUGCAGACCAUUCACCUCACCGGCCAUAACACUUGCACCGUCAGUUGACAGUCCAAUUAAAUUUUCAAAUGGAAUAUCAUUUUCAGAAAAAAAUGUCUUAAUGCUGUUGUAAAUGGUUUCAGCGUCACAUUUUAUAAGUUCAAUCAAACCCAAAAAUCUAUCUUUAAUAAUUUUGGAAUUCUUAUCGACAUACCUUACAACUAAAACUAAAGACUUUCUGGUUGAAAUAUCA
Molecule: long non-coding RNA, 1058 nt
Organism: Eupeodes corollae
Lineage: Eukaryota; Metazoa; Arthropoda; Insecta; Diptera; Syrphidae
Exons: 3
Source: RefSeq, a predicted model, not a curated record